RNAcentral lists this ribosomal RNA (499 nucleotides) under uncultured bacterium. RNAcentral describes it as "partial 16S ribosomal RNA". It matches the Rfam family "Bacterial small subunit ribosomal RNA", at positions 28 to 507 of the family's 1533-position model. The record is from RNAcentral.
GACGAACGCUGGCGGCGUGCCUAAUACAUGCAAGUCGAGCGAAGUUUUUCUGGUGCUUGCACUAGAAAAACUUAGCGGCGAACGGGUGAGUAACACGUAAAGAACCUGCCUCAUAGACUGGGACAACUAUUGGAAACGAUAGCUAAUACCGGAUAACAGCAUUACCUGCAUGGUUGAUGUUUAAAAGUUGGUUUUGCUAACACUAUGAGAUGGCUUUGCGGUGCAUUAGCUAGUUGGUGGGGUAAAGGCCUACCAAGGCGACGAUGCAUAGCCGACCUGAGAGGGUGAUCGGCCACACUGGGACUGAGACACGGCCCAGACUCCUACGGGAGGCAGCAGUAGGGAAUCUUCCGCAAUGGGCGAAAGCCUGACGGAGCAACGCCGCGUGAGUGAAGAAGGAUUUCGGUUCGUAAAGCUCUGUUGUUAGGGAAGAAUGAUUGUGUAGUAACUAUACACAGUAGAGACGGUACCUAACCAGAAAGCCACGGCUAACUACGUG